GGGUGUGUGGUGUAGUGGUUAAGGUGUUGGACUGAAAUUCAAGAUGUCUAGGUUCUGUUCCCUACUCAGCCA
Molecule: non-coding RNA, 72 nt
Organism: Phrynosoma platyrhinos (Desert horned lizard)
Lineage: Eukaryota; Metazoa; Chordata; Lepidosauria; Squamata; Phrynosomatidae
Source: the annotation of a GenBank genome assembly